CGUAUGUAAUUUGUAUAUAUUGUAGGUGAGAUAUUUUCUCACCUACCGGACUUCAUUCUCACAUUAUUUUCUCUGUAAUAACAUCUCUCUCCAUUCCAGAGAGUUCCAGACGCUCCUCCUUCUCUCUACUUUCUCUCUCUACAGUUUCUAUGAUUUCUCGGUCUAUUGUCAAUGUUUACAUGGUAACAGAGCCUAGACGACGAUCCGACUAUGUUUCUCUACAUCUCGUUGUCUUGGUUGAACUCCUUUUUGAGAUUUUUUGGGGAUUUUUCUGAGACCUUAUGGUCGAUGAUGCUUCUGACCUAGAUCGGAUGUUUUUCCGAAUUUUUCAUCAUGAUAUCUGAGUGUAUUUUCUUCACUCGCACAUUCUGAGAGAUUUUCUGCUGAUUUUUGGGUGGCUUCUCGGUGACCUAUCGGCUUUUAGGAUUUCUGGUAAUGUUUUUCCAAGUUUUUCAUCAUGAUAUCAGAGUGUAUUUUCUUCACCCGCACAUUCUGAUAGGUUUUCUACUGAUUUUUGGGUGGCUUCUUGGUGACCUAUCGACUUCUAGGGUUUCUGGUGGUUUAACCUAGAGUUCUACUGCUAUCCGGUGGCUCGAUUCUCACUCGGACGUAAAAUGAUUGUUGCUUUAUCAGCUAAAAAUAAAAUUGGUUUUGUUGAUGGCACGUACUCCCGACCUGCCAUUAAUGUGGCUCAACAAAGGUUGUCGGAUAGGUGCAACAACAUGGUGAUUUCUUGGUUAACUACUUCCCUCUCCCCUGCAAUUGCUGAAUCUGUGCAGUACUCUGAUACUGCACAGAGCAUAUGGUCCCAACUCCAGGCCAGAUAUGGCACUGCAAACAGGACCAAAAUCUCUGAACUGAAAAGAGAGUUGCCCCACACCUCUCAAGGGUCCUUAGAUAUAGCUUCGUAUUUUAAUAAGCUAAAAGGUCUGUGGGAUAACUUGAUUCAAUGUGUGUUAAUCAUGGUCAAAGAUGUGUUUGUGCUGCAAAAGAUGGUAUAGUACAGGAAAGUGAUGACAAUAAGGUCUUUCAGUUUUUAAUGGGUCUAAACGAAGCAUAUAUGGGGGUCAGGAGUAAUCUUUUGAUGAUGCAGCCUCAUCCUUCUCUUGACAAUGUCUAUAAUGUGGUCCUCAAUGAUGAGAAACAAAGACAAGUCCAGUCUUCUUCUCACUUUAAUCCAGACUCUGNNNN
This 1191-nucleotide long non-coding RNA is filed under the name Nicotiana benthamiana. RNAcentral describes it as "long non-coding RNA (NBEN_LNC021625)". Lineage: Eukaryota; Viridiplantae; Streptophyta; Magnoliopsida; Solanales; Solanaceae. The record is from RNAcentral.